Molecule: ribosomal RNA, 947 nt
Filed under: Candelabrochaete africana
Lineage: Eukaryota; Fungi; Basidiomycota; Agaricomycetes; Polyporales; Irpicaceae
Description: eukaryotic LSU rRNA
Rfam family: Eukaryotic large subunit ribosomal RNA
Source: RNAcentral
AAGCAUAUCAAUAAGCGGAGGAAAAGAAACUUAACCAGGAUUCCCCUAGUAACUGCGAGUGAAGCGGGAAAAGCUCAAAUUUAAAAUCUGGCGGUCUCUGGCUGUCCGAGUUGUACACUAGAGAAGUGUUUUCUGUGCUGGACCAUGUACAAGUCUCUUGGAAUAGAGCGUCGUAGAGGGUGAGAAUCCCGUCUCUGACAUGGACUACCAGUGCUCUGUGAUACACUCUCAAAGAGUCGAGUUGUUUGGGAAUGCAGCUCAAAAUGGGUGGUAAAUUCCAUCUAAAGCUAAAUAUUGGCGAGAGACCGAUAGCGAACAAGUACCGUGAGGGAAAGAUGAAAAGCACUUUGGAAAGAGAGUUAAACAGUACGUGAAAUUGCUGAAAGGGAAACGCUUGAAGUCAGUCGCGUCGGCCAGAACUCAGCCUUGCUUCUGCUUGGUGCACUUUCUGGUUUGUACGGGCCAGCAUCGAUUUUGACCGCCGGAAAAAGGCCAGGGGAAGGUGGCACCUCUGGGUGUGUUAUAGCCCCCGGUCGCAUACGGUGGUUGGGAUCGAGGCACUCGGCGCGCCUUCACAGGUUGGGGUUCGCCCACAUACCGCGCUUAGGAUGCUGGCGUAAUGGCUUUAAGCGACCCGUCUUGAAACACGGACCAAGGAGUCUAACAUGCCUGCGAGUGUUUGGGUGGUGAAACCCGAGCGCGUAACGAAAGUGAAAGCUGGGACCUCUGUCGUGGAGAGCACCAGCGCCCAGACCGGACCUUCUGUGAUGGAUCUGCGGUAGAGCAUGUAUGUUGGGACCCGAAAGAUGGUGAACUAUGCCUGAAUAGGGUGAAGCCAGAGGAAACUCUGGUGGAGGCUCGUAGCGAUUCUGACGUGCAAAUCGAUCGUCAAAUUUGGGUAUAGGGGCGAAAGACUAAUCGAACCAUCUAGUAGCUGGUUCCUGCCG